Molecule: small nuclear RNA, 107 nt
Organism: Mastomys coucha (southern multimammate mouse)
Lineage: Eukaryota; Metazoa; Chordata; Mammalia; Rodentia; Muridae
Source: RefSeq, a predicted model, not a curated record
GUACUCACUUUAACAGCAUAUAUACUAAAGUUGGAACAAUAUAAGAAAGAUUAGUAUGGCCCUUGCACAAGGAUGACACACAAAUUCAUAAAGCGUUCCAUAAUUUU